AGGCUGAGUGGUGAAUCCCCAUCCGACCCUCCCUGAAGCACAAUAAAGAAGCACCAGCAACGCGUUUUAAACGGCCUUUCGUUAUCCACGGCAAACUCGCUGAUUCAGGAUCAGCUCAGGCAGAGAGACACGCUUCACUUUGGCGCAGGUGAAUGUUCCUUUGUGAGGUAUGGAUGGAGUCUUUUGUUGCACAGAGACAAGCAGCACAGGAGCGGGCAGAAGGGCGUGGAUGUAAACUGAAUCCCUCCCAUAGCUGCUGAGGACAGUGAAACGCGCUGAGCUUCAGGUGGCGAAGAGGAGGAGGUGGAAUAAGAGAGGAAUAAAGACGCGCAGCUCAGCGCCAGAGCCAUGGCUCCACAGAGGUUCGUCGGAAAGCUCGCUUCACGGGAGCGGGUUGUAGUGCAGGAUGAGUGGUCCCCCGCGCUCCAGCGAGUGUGAGAGCAGGAGGAACAUCACCUGACAGGCGGCCCUCCCCUCGGGGGACACAAGCAGACACGCUCGCGCCUCUCAGGCUGGAAACUGGAGGGCAAAAAACGGCUCAGAUCCUACAGCGCGCCUCCUUUUCCAGAACUCUCCUCUUCCUCACUUUCUCGUGGAAAGAGAUUUCACUUUCUCUGCGGCCAAACUUGGGAAAACUUUGGCCCCCGGAUUGAGCCUGGCGCUGUAGCGUCCAUGCCGGGAGCGCCGUGAGCGUCGUGCGCCCGGCUGCGGAGAUUGGAGAACUGCGCUCUCGCUGUGAUAUUAUUCAAAGUCCCGCAAAGUCUUUCGCAGUCCAGGGGCCACUGCAGCGAAGAUGCCAGUCCGGAGGGGCCAUGUGGCUCCGCAGAACACCUUCCUGGAUACCAUCAUCAGGAAAUUUGACAGUCAAAGUCGCAAGUUUAUCAUAGCCAACGCCAGAGUGGAGAACUGCGCCAUCAUUUUCUGUAACGAUGGCUUCUGCCACAUGUGUGGCUACUCCAGGGCUGAGAUCAUGCAGAAGCCAUGCGCGUGCAACUUCCUGUAUGGACCUGACACCAAGCGACUGGCUAUUGCCCAGAUGGCGCAGGCCCUCCUGGGGUCGGAGGAGAGGAAGGUGGAGAUCAACCUUUACCGAAAAGACGGUAGGAAAAACCAAAGGAUGCUGUGCUCGUCAUUUCAGAGCUGUUUCUGCUCAUGUGUGCACCUGUUUCUGGCCUGAGGGAGAUGAAACUGCAUUUAAGGGAAUACAAGCAGAUCAUUUCUAAUAGUGGCAGAAGAGUAAAGCUUGGUGUCAACUUUGUGUUGGGGACAGAAGGUGUGGUGUGCCAGAGAGGUUAGCAUGCUAGCUGCUUUAAUUGAGAUAGGGUUAGGGGGUUAACCCUAACCCUAACCCUAACCCUAACCCUUGAGCAGUAAUACAUGUUUGUUAGGUAUAUGUAGAAACAUGUGGUAUAUUCAUUGCUAUUGUACUAUAUUCCAGAAUAAGAGAAGAGUCAUUUGUGAUUAAUUUUCCAGAAGUCCAUAAAAGGAAUCAGACGUGCAGAUUAUCCAGAAUGAGAUCUCCAUAUAGGAUUGGUCAGGGCUCAGGUAACAACAUCUGCCUCUGCUGCCACUGUUGGCUGAAGACAAAGGAACAGGAAAGGGGGAAGGUGUGUCUGGAGACAGUGGGAAAACUGGUAAAGGGAGAGGAUCUGAUUUGAUGGAGAGAAGGAAGGUAUAUGUGUGUGCAAGGUCCUUCACUAGGCUGAAAGGAAGUAAACACUCCACCACGGUGCAGAUAGGAAGAGAGACGAGUAAUGUUGGAGGAAGAGUAUCUGAACAGUCUUGAGGUGAAGAGAGACGUGAUUGUGAGGCUGAAGCUGGAAAUUGAAGGUGUGAUGUUAAAUGCUGUCAGUGUGUAUGCCCGACAAGUUGGAUGUCAUUUAGACGAUGAGGUAAAGAUGGUGUUAAAGAGACAAAUGCAGAAGGACAGAUAGUGUGUGUCUUAUAGAAAUGGCUGUGGUGAACACAGAAGAAGAAGAGGGAGGAACACAGGCUGACAAAUGAUACUGGAAGAUGGUGCACACAUUUAGAUUAUAUCUUGUGCAGAAGGUGCAGUUUGAAAGAGAUAGGAGGUUGCAAUGUGAUGUCAGGGUGUAGUUAGGCAGCAUCAGGUAGUAGGUUGUAGAAUGACUUUGCAAAUCAAGAAGAUGAAGCGUGUGAAGGCAACGACAAGGAUUAAAUGGUGGAAGUUGAAGAAGGAAGAGUUGUGCUCAGUGUUUCGGGGAGGCAAGUCUGGGUACAUAACAAUAGAAGUCUUUCAGGUUGGUGCAGCACAUGUGUGAGUGCAGAGUACAUUAGAUCGUCUUUGAUAGACGUGCUGACAGAAGAAGCCAGGCAGGAUUCUCUGUAAACCAUGAUGUCUGCAGAUCUGUAGCGAGAGCAGGUGGAAGCCUGCAGAGGCGGAGGUAUGCUCUGGAGAGAGGACGGAUGGAAUUCAGCAAAACAGAAUACGAGUGUGAAUGAGAGGGAGACAGGUGUAGCUGUGAGGAUGCAAGGAGGGGUGCAGCUUAAAUAUUUGGGGUCAAUCACCCAAAGCAAUGACGUGUGCACAACAGAGAUAAAGACAAGUGCAGGCAGGGUGGAGUGGGUGGAGACUUGUGACAGAAGGAUAGCAGCAAGCGUGACUCAGGUUCAGCUUUGGCUGCUUUUGAGUGGCGUGCACAUCCACAGACGUCUUUCUGCUGUAGGCCAGCACCGUGUCCUUCCUCUGUAUCUUAUUUAUUUUUUAUUUUAACUUGAAUUAAGGUUGAAGUAGAGCCCAUGGAAAUGAAUACAUAUUGAUUUGAUUAAGUUAACUGUGAUCAUAGUUCUCAUCAUAAGUCCAACAGCAGGCCAGUUUCAGCCGAUUCCUUCAGUCAGCCUCGAGCGACUGUCAAAGCUUCUCACUUUGUUUUUGUGUUGUGUAGGGAACAUUUGGCACAUGAUAGCUCAUGUUUUUGUCCAAGUUUGUGUGAAUAGUUUGACUGCUGUUUAGUCCAUGUUUUCAUUUGUGUCUUUAGCAACAAACUUAGUGCCAGAUUUUUUCCUUUUUUCCUUUUGAGCAGCACAAACGUUUGGGACGGAGAGUAUGGUGCGUGUGGUCUGUUUCCAGAUGGCAUUUAAUAUAAAUGUGGUCGAUUAUUACUGAGUGAGACAACAAUUAAAUAGCCAUCUGUUCUUUUUCAUGCUACAACUGUUUUAAUGAAAUAGCAGUGUGAUUAAAAGAGCUCACCUGAACGCACAUUAGAGGAAGAUAAACAUGUCAAACCCUUGGAGAAGUCCGUCCUACCACACGAAUGUAUUUCUGAUGAUCGUCAUAAAGAGGCGCGUGGUAAUAAAGAAAGCAACUCCCUGGGCUACGGCCAGAGCAUCUGCUGGAUGUUUUCCACCUGUAGACGGACAACAGAGCAGCAGAAGAGAGGGGGCUUAGGUGGAGGAAGAGAAGGCCGAAGGGAAAAGUGGUGACUAAGAAACAGGAAGACGCCACAGCUCUGAGAAGCUCGGAACAACCAUUGGGUGAGAGGUGGGAGAAACAAAGUGGGAGCAUGAGACAGAGAGAGAAGCAGCGUGUCAUGGUCUGGGUAGUUUUCCACGGCAUCGGCUCCUCCCCGCUGGGUGGAGUCUUUGUUGUUCCUCCCCUGAUGGCAAUCAUACCGGCAGUAUUUAUGACCUGCGCACUCAACUGGUCUUCGCCAGAUUAUCUGCCAACUUUACAGCUGAAACCCACCUACCACCUACCUACCUUUUUGAACUGCCAGUCUCUCCUGCCUGCCUCCCUGCAUUGCAUGCAGCACCCACCUCGACCUCUCCUGCCUUCCUCCUCCAAGCAACCCCCACCUGCAAGCUUUGCCCAGUCCCUGCACCCAGUUAUCCCUGCCAUCUAGUCAUAGUCAUAGUUUUUCGUUGUCUAGUUUAUGUUCCUUAAUUCUAGUCUGAGAUUUCUGUUAGCCUCUGAGCAUUGUGAAGAAAGACUCUUUUUGUUACGCCGCACCUAGCCUCCGGGUUUGAAACUGCACUUGAGUCCAUCCCAUUUCCACUGUGCAAUGACACAGCGACCGUUAUGUGAAAGUGAGAAGGAAAGGAGAGAAGAGGUGGAGCCUGCAGUGUGCUCUGUAGUGAUGUUUAUGAGGAGCUCUCUGCCAGCUCCGCUCCUCACAGAUCUCUCUUUCCACUGUUUACACCAGUCGCACACAAAGAACCCAGUGAAAGCUACAAUAUGUCCACCAUGCUAACAACACAUAGCAUUUAGCUUUUCUGACUUUAAUGCCUGCAUAGCUUUGGCCGCUGCUGGCACAGUGCAAUAUCCUCAGUAUACCCUUUUACUGCAGACAGAAGAAAAAUGAUCAUAUUAACUAAAAUGGAAUAGCACUGUAAUUAAGAAGUGACUCACGUAAUGACCAUGCUCAAAGCACUGACUAAUCAUACAUCCACAAAGUAUCAUUCUUGGAGGUAACGAGAGGUCACCGAGGUGUCGCUGGCACAGAGGGACAGUGGACAGCCUCACACCAUAUCAAAUAUUACAAGUAGGUUUUCGUAUGAUUCAAGUGCAACUAUCAUUUUUCAUGCAGGGAUGAGUCCUGCUCUACUCACAGUUGAUUUCUGCCCAGGUCUUGAAGAUUAUCGUACAUUGUAAGCAGGUAAUUAACCAUGUAUGGUGUUUCCUCCAGCUUAUGUUUAAAUAGUUUCACAGUCACAGCAGCUUCCCUGCAGCAGCCUGGGCCUCAUUCACUAAUAUUUGAGUGGAAAUGUUCUUAGCCUGUGCAAACCUGCCUCUCAUUUAUGAAACCUGAAGCCUGUUCUGUUCUUGCCACGCUCCGUAUGUUAGUGAAUCAGGAUCGUCUUGAACCAGCAGCCUGCACCUCCAAGGCAAGAGAUCAGGAGAAGUCUGAUUGUGAAAAUGUGAACAGCAGUGACUGAGGUCCAAAGGGGAAAGCAGAGGAGGCACAGCUUUCCAAAGUAUUUCCACGGAAAUGAUGGCAAUUUAAAAAGAAUAAAUAACGAGCUGAGUGUCGUUUCCCCUGGCAGACUCUUGGUGGCUCAAGUCCAAAAGGAGUUUGAAAAAGACAAACAGGCUACAAGGUGGAGGACACAGACCAUGUGAUCUGUCAGCCUGCGAGGAGAAACUCACUGCAAUAAUCAAACAAUGAUAGAAGUUAUUUUCAAUGAUAGAUAAGAACAUGUAAGGUACAAUAAGAUGAGAUAGGAGACACUGUAAUACAUGUUUAAACUGACAGACGAAUCCCAGUCAUGUGGACGCUGCACGUGUCGCGGUAGGGUAAGGCAAGGCAAGUUUAUUUGUAUAGCACAAUUCAACAACAAGGUGAUUCAAAGUGCUUUACAGAGACAUUAGAAACAAAAACAAAUA
Haplochromis burtoni (Burton's mouthbrooder) is the source of this 5344-nucleotide RNA transcript. RefSeq lists it as uncharacterized. NCBI's taxonomy places the organism in Eukaryota, Metazoa, Chordata, Actinopteri, Cichliformes, Cichlidae. The transcript is spliced from 3 exons. The record is from RefSeq and is a predicted model, not a curated record.